RNAcentral lists this ribosomal RNA (439 nucleotides) under uncultured bacterium. RNAcentral describes it as "partial 16S ribosomal RNA". It matches the Rfam family "Bacterial small subunit ribosomal RNA", at positions 339 to 795 of the family's 1533-position model. The record is from RNAcentral.
CUACGGGCUGCAGCAGUGGGGAAUUUUGGACAAUGGAGGAAACUCUGAUCCAGGGAUACCGCGUGGGUGAUGAAGAUUUACGGAUUGUAAAGCCCUUUUAGUAGGGAAAAUAGUGAUGGUACCUACAGAAAAAGCAUCAGCUAACUCUGUGCCAGCAGCUGCGGUAUUACAGAGGAUGCGAGUGUUAUUCGGAAUCACUGGGCGUAAAGGGCACGUAGGCGGUUAUUUAAGUCCGCAAUGAAAUACCGGGGCUCAACGUCGGUGCUGUUGUGGAUACUGUUUAACUAGAGAACGGAAGAGGUGAAUAGAAUUCCUGGUGGAGAGGUGAAAUUCUUAGAUAUCAGGAGGAAUGCCAGAGGCGAAAGCGGUUCACUGGGACGUUUCUGACGCUGAGGCGCGAAAGCGUGGGGAGCAAACAGGAUUAGAUACCCUCGUAGUC